UGGGGAAUUUUGCGCAAUGGGCGAAAGCCUGACGCAGCAACGCCGCGUGAGUGAUGAACGCCUUCGGGUCGUAAAGCUCUGUCAGAGGGAAAGAAGUGUGGGGCGGCUAAUACCCGUUUCACUUGACGGUACCCUCAAAGGAAGCACCGGCUAACUCCGUGCCAGCAGCCGCGGUAAUACGGAGGGUGCGAGCGUUGUUCGGAAUUAUUGGGCGUAAAGCGCGUGUAGGCGGCUCCUUAAGUCUGAUGUGAAAGCCCUGGGCUCAACCCGGGAAGUGCAUUGGAAACUGGGGAACUUGAAUACGGGAGAGGGUAGUGGAAUUCCUGGUGUAGGAGUGAAAUCCGUAGAUAUCAGGAGGAACACCGGUGGCGAAGGCGGCUGCCUGGACCGAUAUUGACGCUGAGACGCGAAAGCGUGGGGAGCAAACAGG
RNAcentral lists this ribosomal RNA (430 nucleotides) under bacterium. Its description in RNAcentral is "partial 16S ribosomal RNA". It matches the Rfam family "Bacterial small subunit ribosomal RNA", at positions 355 to 776 of the family's 1533-position model. The record is from RNAcentral.